GUCUUUGGCCAUACCACUCUGAGUAUGACCAGUCUCAUCUGAUCUCAAAAGCUAAGCAGGGUCAGGCCUAGUUACUACUUGGAAGGGAGAAAGUUAUUCCUAAAGAUG
This 108-nucleotide ribosomal RNA is filed under the name Nannospalax galili (Upper Galilee mountains blind mole rat). The record is from RNAcentral. Lineage: Eukaryota; Metazoa; Chordata; Mammalia; Rodentia; Spalacidae.